UCGGAGAGACUGAAAUUCCACAGGAGCAUAAUGCAUUCAAUAAGGAAAACUCACUAGGGAGGCAGAGACUCUGGGGGAGGGGGAUAACAAGCUAUGCGUAGGUCAGGCUACAACUUGAAAACUGCUGGAGACACGAGGGGGAAUGUCCAUGAAAAAAAAUCAAUGGAAGGACUCAGUUUGGGGAACCAGGAAAAUCUGCAAGGGAAACAAGUAGAUAAGAACAAA
Molecule: long non-coding RNA, 225 nt
Filed under: Lathyrus oleraceus (garden pea)
Lineage: Eukaryota; Viridiplantae; Streptophyta; Magnoliopsida; Fabales; Fabaceae
Description: Pisum sativum (pea) long non-coding RNA (PSAT_LNC014455)
Source: RNAcentral